CACAACCGACAGCGGCCCAGUUUUAUCGCUUAGCCCUGCUGAAGCAAGCAACACACCCAACACAGCACACAGCCAAGGGUCCAAUUAUACAAGUCAUAACUCAUUAACUGUUUUUGGUUUUCUUUUCAGGAGAACGGCGAAAAAACGAACUUGAUGCAGCACAAAUGAUAACGAAAUAAUCUACUAAGAGAGAGAUGGUCAUCGACUUUGGUAACCUUUCGUUGUUUGGUUUGAAAAAUAAACACCAAGGAAAAAAAAACAAAUCACAACACACACAACAUUUUGGCCGGACUAAUCAAAGCUGUUGUAUUGCAACUUUUACAGCCGCAGCGAGAGGCGGAUGAAAUAUUAAUUAAUAUUUGUUUGUUUUUUUGCUUUGUCUCUUGUAUAGUAAAAAGGAGGGGGA
Molecule: long non-coding RNA, 406 nt
Organism: Daphnia pulex (common water flea)
Lineage: Eukaryota; Metazoa; Arthropoda; Branchiopoda; Diplostraca; Daphniidae
Exons: 2
Source: RefSeq, a predicted model, not a curated record